RNAcentral lists this long non-coding RNA (327 nucleotides) under Homo sapiens (human). RNAcentral describes it as "HSALNT0398018". Lineage: Eukaryota; Metazoa; Chordata; Mammalia; Primates; Hominidae. The record is from RNAcentral.
UGAGAAGCAGGGUUGGUGGAGUCCCCUGUCCCCAGAGAGGGUGACUUGUCACCCCUGCACUGACCCUUUGGGAAUGUCACCACAAACAGAGAGUCUUGCCCUGUCACUCAGGCUGGAGUGCAAUGAUGCCAUCUCGGCUCACUGCAACCUCCGCUUCUCGGGUUCAAGUGAUUCUCCUGCCUCAGCCUCCUGAGUAGCUGGGAUUACAGGGUCAGUGGCUCACUCCUCCUUCUGAACCAGCAGCUUACCUCCAGCAAAAUGAUCCUUUCAGGCUGACUGUGAAAUAGCAGACAUCUGAGUCCUCUGUUAUAGGUUAUUAAAUCUAAA